UACGGAGGGAGCUAGCGUUGUUCGGAAUUACUAGGCGUAAAGGGCAGGUAGGCGGAUCUACGAGUUUUUUGUUAAAGGCUACGGCUCAACUGUAGUAAGGCAGGAGAUACUGUAGGUCUGGAAUGCGGUAGGGGAAGACAGAAUUCCUGGUGUAGCGGUGGAAUGCGCAGAGAUCAGGAGGAAUACCGAAGGCGAAGGCAGUCUUCUAGGCCGUAAUUGACGCUUAACUGCGAAGGUGUGGGGAUCAAACAGGAUUAGAUACCCUGGUAGUCCACACAGUAAACGAUAAUCACUAGAUGUCGGGUUCUAGAUGGAUUCGGUGUCGGAGCCAACGCGAUAAGUGAUUCGCCUGGGGAGUACGAUCGCAAGGUUGAA
RNAcentral lists this ribosomal RNA (375 nucleotides) under uncultured bacterium. Its description in RNAcentral is "bacterial SSU rRNA". It matches the Rfam family "Bacterial small subunit ribosomal RNA", at positions 524 to 898 of the family's 1533-position model. The record is from RNAcentral.